GACAAUCAGGGAGCAAGAGCUUUCAUAGACAGACAGAGACGGCUACAGGCGGAAACAGCACAGUCAGCUCUGUCGUCUUACAGUUGGUCACCAGUGGUCUGACCAGCGUCGUCUUGAUUGUUUUAGUGUGUGUGUACGGUACAGGUCGUGUAGAGCAACCUCAAAUUUCCAGUACCAGAAAGCUGUCUAAAACAGCUCACCUGGAAUGCAUGGUAUCCGGUGUAACAAUUUCUACCACAUCUGUAUAUUGGUAUCAAGAAAGACCCGGUCAAGCCAUACAGCACCUGCUACACAUUUUCUCUAACAACACCGUCAAAAGGGAAUCAGGCAUUCUGUUGAGCAAGUUUGAGGCACACAUGACACCUGAAACUUCCACAUCGACCCUCACCGUUCACAAUGUGCGGGAACAAGACUCUGCCACCUACUACUGUGCCCUCUGGGAUAUGCACGCUGCUAGUUCAAUCUGGAUCAAGGUAUUUGGUGAAGGAACUAAGCUCGUAGUAAUACCUCCUGAUAGAAGGCUUGAUGGAGACUUGUUUCCCAAGCCCACUAUAUUUUUCCCUUCAGUUGAGGAAGUAAAACUCCAUAUGGCUGGAACACAUCUUUGCCUUCUUCAGAAAUUUUUCCCUGAUGCUAUUAAGGUACAAUGGAAAGAAAAGAAUGGCAAUACAAUUCUGGAAUCCCAACAGGGAGAUAUCAUCAAGACCAAUGACACAUACAUGAAAUUCAGCUGGCUGACCUUGACUAAAAAGGCAAUGGAUAAAGAACAUGUAUGUAUUGUCAAACACGAGAAUAACAAAGGUGGACGUGAUCAAGAGAUUCUUUUUUCUUCAGUUAAAAAAGAGGUCGCUAAAAAGGCCUGCAUGAAAAAAGAAAGUGAUACCCUGCAGCUGCAGUUUGCGAGCACCUCUGCCUAUUAUACCUACCUCCUCCUCCUCCUCAAGAGCGUGAUCUACUUCUCCAUCAUCGCCUUCUGCGUGUUUAAGAGAACAGACAUCUUCAGCGAUUGGAAGAUUUUCUGAUGGUGCCCUAAAACGGUCAACUCUCCUUCAUCAUCUACAUAAUGGGUACAUUUUUCUAUUAUUGUGUACUGAUUUUUCAAGCCACUGGGCAAACAGUUUUCCUCUUUAACAAGGAAUUCUGCCAUUAUUCAGGGAAAGUGCCCAGGACUGGUCCAGGGGAUCCUCUCCCCACCCUAUCCCUACAACCUCAUCAGCUCCUCCAGCCUCCAAGUCCUUGUACCUGCACACAGCGGGCAGCUCCCCAUCUCUUCCCUCAGCACCACCCCCCAGACAUCACCCUGACCCUCCCUGCCACACAUUCUGGGACUGCCAGCUUAGCUACUUGAAUUCUGUACUUUCUUUUUCAUAAUGGGCAUAAUAAUUAAAAAGAGAAAUCAAUAGCCA
Molecule: non-coding RNA, 1406 nt
Organism: Cervus elaphus (red deer)
Lineage: Eukaryota; Metazoa; Chordata; Mammalia; Artiodactyla; Cervidae
Source: the annotation of a RefSeq genome assembly